AUCAAGUGGUACAUCACUGAGC
This 22-nucleotide microRNA is filed under the name Caenorhabditis briggsae. Its description in RNAcentral is "Cbr-Novel-2_3p (mature (co-guide))". The record is from RNAcentral. Lineage: Eukaryota; Metazoa; Nematoda; Chromadorea; Rhabditida; Rhabditidae.